RNAcentral lists this ribosomal RNA (253 nucleotides) under uncultured bacterium. RNAcentral's name for it is "partial 16S ribosomal RNA". It matches the Rfam family "Bacterial small subunit ribosomal RNA", at positions 524 to 776 of the family's 1533-position model. The record is from RNAcentral.
UACGUAGGGGACAAGCGUUGUCCGGAAUGACUGGGCGUAAAGGGCGCGCAGGCGGUUUUUUAAGCAGGAUGUGAAAGGUCCCGGCUCAACCGGGGAGCGGCAACCUGAACUGGAAGACUUGAGUAUUGGAGAGGCAGGCAGAAUUCCUGGUGUAGCGGUGAAAUGCGCAGAGAUCAGGAGGAAUACCGGAGGCGAAGGCGGCCUGCUGGACAAAUACUGACGCUGAGGCGCGAAAGCGUGGGGAGCAAACAGG